Molecule: ribosomal RNA, 346 nt
Filed under: uncultured bacterium
Lineage: Bacteria
Description: bacterial SSU rRNA
Rfam family: Bacterial small subunit ribosomal RNA
Source: RNAcentral
CUAGCGACUUCAGAGUUUGAUCCUGGCUCAGGAUGAACGCUAGCGACAGGCCUAACACACGCAAGUCGAGGGGCAGCAUUUAAUAAGCUUGCUUAUUAAGAUGGCGACCGGCGCACGGGUGAGUAACACGUAUGUAAUCUGCCUGUAACAGGGGAAUAACCCGGAGAAAUUCGGACUAAUACCCCAUAACAUCAAAAUGUUGCAUGAAAUUUUGAUUAAAGGAUUUCCGGUUACAGAUGAGCAUGCGUAUCAUUAGCUAGUUGGUAGAGUAACGGCCUACCAAGGCAACGAUGAUUAGGGGUUCUGAGAGGAAGAUCCCCCACACUGGUACUGAGACACGGACCAG